RNAcentral lists this long non-coding RNA (1138 nucleotides) under Olea europaea subsp. europaea. Lineage: Eukaryota; Viridiplantae; Streptophyta; Magnoliopsida; Lamiales; Oleaceae. The record is from RNAcentral.
GUGCAUUUUAUGCACUUAUUCGGACUACAUAAUUAGGUUUUUAUGUCGUCAAAUUAUCAAUUUUUACCUAACUUGUGUUAAUUUUUUUUUGUUUUUAGUUAUGGACCUGUUUUGAAGCAAUUGGAAAAGAAAAUAAUCAAUUGGCUAUUACAUUGAGUUUGUGGACAAAAUCUCGCGGAAUAAAAGAUGGAGGAUCAAAAUUGAGGAGAAAAUGAAGAGAAAGACUAACUUGCAUUACACGAAAGAAUUGAGUACACAAAACUUAUUGGACUUGGGCUUCUAGUUUGUAUAUAGAAUAAGGGCUUUAUUGUUGAGGUAUAUGUACACUUGCAGCCGAGAAAAGCUGGGGGUAGACAAAAUUCAUAAACACAUAGACAGAAAAUGGUGAGGAGGAGGGUGCCGUGGGAGAAAAUUGAAAUCCCUUCUGGGGAUUAAAUAUACAGCAAGCGGAGGCUGGUGGGCGGAAAAAAAAUAAUAUAUAGACAGGGACUUUGGGGCAAUUAAAAGGAACAGAAAGCAAGCUGGUUUUGGACUCUUUAAUUGGCAGAUUUAGUGGCAGAAAAAAAGAGAAUUGCUGGGGCUGAAUUGAGUAUAUUCCACGGCAGAAAGUCGGCUACAGCUUGGGGUCGAAUUGGAAUUAAAAAGACAUUGGACGGUUGCACUUAAAUAUAUAUACACAGAGCCCGAGCCAAGCAGAUUAGGACCCGGGAAUUGAGUGCUGAAUUACUAAAAUAAAUCAGCUGCUGGGAAUUAAUUGUUGGGUUGAAAAGUGAUUUGAAUUAUAUAUUUGUAUAUCCACCAGAAGCCGAAGCAAGGAAGAGGAUUGGAGUCCCUUUUCUUUAGUCAAAUUGCGCAGUUGCAAGAUGGAAUUAUAUUGCUACAUUCACAGAGAACCAAGGCACAACAAGGUUGGAAAUUAGAAUUAUAUACAGCAGCUGGAGAGACAUUCACGAGACGGUGAAAGACGGCACACGCAAUUGGAAUAAAUCACGUUCCAUCAAUUAUUGGUGAUGUCGUUCCACUUCUCUUUGUUUAAUUUUAACAUUAUGCUCGGCUAGAUUAUUUUGUGCUAGGAUUUGCGAUGAACCCUACAUUAUGAACCCUUAGUCUUGAAUGUUAUUUAUUUGACGUUAAAUUA